This is a long non-coding RNA of Esox lucius (northern pike), 392 nucleotides long. The record is from Ensembl. Lineage: Eukaryota; Metazoa; Chordata; Actinopteri; Esociformes; Esocidae.
GCUGGAUUUUUCAGGAGAUUGUAUCAGGCGCAGAUACUGUGUAGAUGUUUUCCUGUGAAUCACAAUUCCUUCACUUGACUUGAGAAAUUGUCAAGGAUUUUCAACUCCAGUGUGACAGGGAUGUAUGAGUUAUCUAGGUCACCAUGACUCUCUUAACUCCCUCAAAAUGACAGGUAUGUUCUUCUUUACAUCUUGCAUUGGUUACAGCAAAAGUUUAUGCUUGAUUGUUGUGUACAAAUUCUUUCCCAAGGGAAACUGGGUGUGAAUCACUUGCAUUCCAGAAUUAUGAUACUUAAGAUCCGAAUUGUAUUCACCCCUUUUUUCUCCUGUCCCAUACUUGCUCGAGAGUCCGAAUCUUUGGAGGGGGCCUCUGAAUCACAUCUUAAAACUGC